UGGGGGAGUAUUGCACAAUGGGGGUAAACCCGUGAUGCAGCGACGCCGCGUGGGUGAAGAAGCGCCUCGGCGCGUAAAGCCCUGUCAGCAGGGAAGAAAAUGACGGUACCUGAAGAAGAAGCCCCGGCUAACUACGUGCC
RNAcentral lists this ribosomal RNA (140 nucleotides) under uncultured bacterium. RNAcentral describes it as "partial 16S ribosomal RNA". It matches the Rfam family "Bacterial small subunit ribosomal RNA", at positions 354 to 509 of the family's 1533-position model. The record is from RNAcentral.